GCUGGCAGUGUGUAUAAUACAUGCAAGUCGACUGCAUUUAGGUGCAGGGCAGACGGGUGAGUAACACGUUGGUUAUCUGCCCCGAACUCAGGGAUAACAUCGAGAAAUCGGUGAUAAUACCGGAUGGUCCCGCAAGGGUAAAGAUUUUUCGGUUCGGGAGGAGCCUGCGUAGUAUCAGCUUGUUGGUGAGGUAAUGGCUCACCAAGGCUAUGACGCUUAGCUGGUCUGAAGGAUGAUCAGUCACAAUGGAACUGAGACACGGUCCAUACUCCUACGGGAGGCAGCAGUAAAGAAUCUUUCGCAAUGGACCAAAGUCUGACUGAGCAACACUGCGUGGUGGAUGAAGCCUUCGGGUCGUAAACACCUUUUCUGGGGGAANAAAUUUCUGACGG
RNAcentral lists this ribosomal RNA (392 nucleotides) under uncultured Microgenomates group bacterium. RNAcentral describes it as "bacterial SSU rRNA". It matches the Rfam family "Bacterial small subunit ribosomal RNA", at positions 35 to 460 of the family's 1533-position model. The record is from RNAcentral.